GCCCGGCUAGCUCAGUCGGUAGAGCAUGCGACUCUUAAUCUCAGGGUCGUGGGUUUGAGCCCCACGUUGGGCG
Molecule: transfer RNA, 73 nt
Filed under: Danio rerio (zebrafish)
Lineage: Eukaryota; Metazoa; Chordata; Actinopteri; Cypriniformes; Danionidae
Description: tRNA-Lys (CTT) (tRNA-Lys-CTT-95-1)
Rfam family: tRNA
About the family: Transfer RNA (tRNA) molecules are approximately 80 nucleotides in length. Their secondary structure includes four short double-helical elements and three loops (D, anti-codon, and T loops).
Source: Rfam by way of RNAcentral